Long non-coding RNA from Nematostella vectensis (starlet sea anemone), 760 nucleotides. RefSeq lists it as uncharacterized. The transcript has 2 exons. The record is from RefSeq and is a predicted model, not a curated record. NCBI's taxonomy places the organism in Eukaryota, Metazoa, Cnidaria, Anthozoa, Actiniaria, Edwardsiidae.
UUUUACGUAUUUUAUUUUUUACCGCCAUCAAAGUUCGUAUGUUCACAGCAAAAAAGGCAGAUUGAAAAUAGUAUUUAAUGAGGAAAUAUGCGCAUUCAAAUGGGCUGAAAUCUUUGAGGAACCGUUUUGUCUGAAGUACGAGCCGAUAGUAAAAUCUACCCGAGUGUUCGUGAAUCCCGUCCGUUGCAGCAGCAAAAAGAGGACUACUUAGAGGCUCUACACUACCAUUCUAAUAACAUUCCUUCACGUCUAUAUCUAUGGAGAUCUAUAAGGAGAUCCUGAGAAGAAAGGGCCUUGGAUUUAUGAAUGUUUUCAGCUAUAAAAAUAAUUCACUUGUGUCGACGAGUUUCUUGCUAGCAGAAAGUCGACAAGUUCACAGUUUACAACAAAAAGCGAACACAACCACACAAGCGACAAACAGAAAGCGACAAAAAAAAACUGCCAAGGUACCAACCAAGGACUACCCGAGGGCCAUGAUUGAUGCUGAAGGCUGGGAGGCAUGAGAAUAGGCAAAUGUCUUAAAGAUAAUAAAGUAGGGAAUUUCUUACUUUGAUACAGCAGUAAAUGUGAAAUAGGCUUUUUUAAAGCAAAUACUUGCCCUCAAUGGUAAAUCUGAAAACAUUUUUUCUAUCAACCUAAAGAUAAUGAGGAAAGGGGAAAUGUUAGGAGAGUGCUCAACCAAGUUGUUGCAUUACUGAUGAUUAUUUUAUCAAAGCUAUAGUCCAAUUUCUUCCUUUUCUCUCUCUCUCUCUCUCUCUCU